Molecule: long non-coding RNA, 620 nt
Filed under: Citrus sinensis (sweet orange)
Lineage: Eukaryota; Viridiplantae; Streptophyta; Magnoliopsida; Sapindales; Rutaceae
Description: long non-coding RNA (CSIN_LNC005764)
Source: RNAcentral
CCAAGCUUGUUGUUGAUUGAAAAGUUAUUGGUGGCAUUAGAAAUUGUAGCUAAUUCAAAUAGUGGUAGCUCCAGGUCAAUGUUUUGAUCUUCGUUUUCCUGAUCAGUUUCUGUUUUCACAGAAAUAAUAAUGGACAGUACUAACCGAAAGAAACAUAUGCAGUCCAGAUACAGGACUUAAUUAAAAUGGAAACUUCCAUUUUCUUGUUCUUGAUGCGAAGGUUCUUCUUUUCCACAAAAUUUAUUAAAGUUCAUUCAUUUAACAGUCCCCGUCUAAUUGAUAUGCUCUUUCAAUACUAUCUACUUGGUAAAGAAUUUGAUUGAAGAACUCAUAAUGAAGAAAGCAAAGAAAACUAUCGGAACCAUUGGUUGAAUGAAAACUGCUGCGUAAAAGUUCAAACAAAUGGCAAUAAAUAUGUGAAGGCAAAGGGAGUUAUUUUACCUGCUAUGUUUCUCCUUCGUUUGUGGAUCAAAUAGCCAGAUAUAAGCACCACGGCCAACAGAGCAACGGCAGAAAUGACUAGCACCACUAUCUUUGUCGUAGGCUCGCCUUUCAUUCCUUGAUUGGCAUAUUCAGAUAUAGUAAAGUACGUCAAUAAUCAUAAAGGUAAAGAAAAAAAA